AGCUCCAAUAGCGUAUAUUUAAGUUGUUGCAGUUAAAAAGCUCGUAGUUGGAUUUCGGAUGAGUGCGACCGGUCCGCCGCUACGGUGUGCACUGGUUGCGUUUAUCUUGCUGUCGGGGACGCGCUCCUGGCCUUAACUGGCUGGGACGUGGAGUCGGCGAAGUUACUUUGAAAAAAUUAGAGUGUUCAAAGCAGGCCUACGCUCUGAAUACAUUAGCAUGGAAUAACGCGAUAGGACUCUGGUCUUAUUGUGUUGGUCUUCGAGACCGGAGUAAUGAUUAAGAGGGACAGUUGGGGGCAUUCGUAUUUCAUUGUCAGAGGUGAAAUUCUUGGAUUUAUGAAAGACGAACUUCUGCGAAAGCAUUUGCCAAGGAUGUUUUCAUUA
This 384-nucleotide ribosomal RNA is filed under the name Pterosperma sp. Its description in RNAcentral is "partial small subunit ribosomal RNA". It matches the Rfam family "Eukaryotic small subunit ribosomal RNA", at positions 587 to 975 of the family's 1831-position model. Lineage: Eukaryota; Viridiplantae; Chlorophyta; Pyramimonadophyceae; Pyramimonadales; Pterospermataceae. The record is from RNAcentral.